CCGAGCGGCGGACGGGUGAGUAACGCGUGGGUAACCUGCCUCAUACAGGGGGAUAACAGUUAGAAAUGACUGCUAAUACCGCAUAAGACCACGGUACCGCAUGGUACAGUGGUAAAAACUCCGGUGGUAUGAGAUGGACCCGCGUCUGAUUAGGUAGUUGGUGGGGUAACGGCCUACCAAGCCGACGAUCAGUAGCCGACCUGAGAGGGUGACCGGCCACAUUGGGACUGAGACACGGCCCAG
This 243-nucleotide ribosomal RNA is filed under the name uncultured bacterium. RNAcentral's name for it is "partial 16S ribosomal RNA". It matches the Rfam family "Bacterial small subunit ribosomal RNA", at positions 91 to 334 of the family's 1533-position model. The record is from RNAcentral.